RNAcentral lists this small RNA (471 nucleotides) under Histoplasma capsulatum var. duboisii H88. RNAcentral describes it as "Histoplasma capsulatum H88 hypothetical RNA". Lineage: Eukaryota; Fungi; Ascomycota; Eurotiomycetes; Onygenales; Ajellomycetaceae. The record is from RNAcentral.
AGCUUCCUGCCAACCACCUUGGCAUCUUGCUGACUGCUUGGAACAAAAAGACGUGCAGGGAUGAAAGGGCCCUAAAAGCAAGGUAAGAAAAAAGAGUGAGAGAAACGACGAGGGAGCAAAGAAAGCAUGUCAAGAUCAAAGCUUGGGGUGAUGACACUGAAAAUACAUACAUGGGAGCGCUCUACAGGAGCCAAAAGAGACCCAUUGUCAUCGUGGAGGAGCAAAACACAAUAUAAGGAGAACAAAGGGAUUGGACUCCCGGUAGUGAGAUAACCGGGAUAGAUGCUAUAAAUUAAAUCAACACUGCGGUGUCUUGCCGCCACUUUGGAUAUAUGCGUACUAUUAUCUUGCCCCUCGGGGGAUAUUUCCAUAUGUAGUUGUCGCGAGAGAGGCAUAUCUCAGGGAAAAUUUCCAGCAAAACGUACGUACGCAGUAGUUAUCCUAGUAGUUAGUAGUGUUACAAAGAAGACC